CUGCAACCAGUGCAGCAACACUGCAUCCAGCUGAAGUUGCAUUGCAGGCUCACUGCAAUCACUGAGGGAUCACUGCAUCCAAUGGAUGUUCACAGCAUCCACAGUCAGGGACACAGCUGGCUGCACUGCAUCCACUGCAGGGACACUGCAUCCAGAUGAACUCGCACUGCAAUUGCACUGCAAUGACUGCAGGAUCACUGCAUCGUCCUUCAUGGGCCCUGAAUCCUGCUUCACAACAUACUGCAUCCACCUUGAGUCACACUGCAGACACUGCAUGGGCACAGCAUCCACAUUCAGGGACAUGGCAGGGGGCUCUGCAACUACUGCAGCUACACUGCAUCCAGCUGAAGUGGCAAUGCAGGCGCACUGCAAUCACUGAAGAUUCACUGCAUCCACCACAUAGGCACUGCAUCAACAUUUCAGGACAAUGCCGGGGGCACUGCAACCACUGAGCGGACUCUGCAUCCCCCUCAUGGGCACUGCAUCCUCCGUCACAACAUACUGCAUAUACCUUUAGGUACACUGCAUCCACUGCAUGGGCACUGCAUUCACCUUCAGUGACACAGAAGGCGGCACUGUAACCACUGCAGCAACACUGCUUCCAGCUGAUGAGGAAAUGCAGGCGCACUGCAAUCACUGUAGGAUCACUGCAUCCACUGCAUGUUCAGAGCAUCUACAUUCAGGGACACUGCAGGGUGCACUUCAGCACUGCCGGAUCACAGCGUCCACCUCCAUGGGCACUGCAUCACCCGUCACAACAUAGUGCAUGCACCUUGUGGGACAAUGCAUCCACUGCAUGAGCAUUGCAUCCACAUUCCUGGACAAUGCAGGGGCACUGCAAACACUGCAGCAAUACCGCAUCCAGGUGAAGUGGCAAUGCAGGCGCACAUCAAUCACUGCAGGGUCACUGUAUUCACCUUCAUUGGCACUGCAUACUACAACACACCACAAUGCCUCCACAUUGUGGGACACUGCAUCCACUGCAUGAGCACUGCAUCCACAUUCCAGGACAAUGCAGGGGGCAUUGCAACCACUUCA
This 1038-nucleotide long non-coding RNA is filed under the name Equus caballus (horse). RNAcentral describes it as "lncRNA (ENSECAG00000053556.1)". Lineage: Eukaryota; Metazoa; Chordata; Mammalia; Perissodactyla; Equidae. The record is from RNAcentral.